Molecule: small nuclear RNA, 106 nt
Filed under: Moschus moschiferus (Siberian musk deer)
Lineage: Eukaryota; Metazoa; Chordata; Mammalia; Artiodactyla; Moschidae
Source: RNAcentral
GUGCUCACCGUGACAGCACAUACACUUAAACUGGAAUGAUACAAAAAAGAUUAGCAUGGCCCCUGCUCAAGGAUGACAUGAAACUGGGGAAGCAUUUCAUGUUUUU